Molecule: small nuclear RNA, 150 nt
Filed under: Callithrix jacchus (white-tufted-ear marmoset)
Lineage: Eukaryota; Metazoa; Chordata; Mammalia; Primates; Cebidae
Description: U4 spliceosomal RNA (ENSCJAG00000032700.3)
Rfam family: U4 spliceosomal RNA (bases 1-69)
Source: RNAcentral
AGCUUUGUGCAGUGGCAGUAUCAUAGCCAAUGAGGUUUAUCCAAGGCACAAUUAUUGCUAACUGAAAAGCUACGUAGGAGCUCACAGAAUCAAAGGAGCCGACUUGGAAAGGGUAGAAACCAGAGCCAUUUCAGAGAUCCAGGAAGCAGG